Molecule: unclassified non-coding RNA, 182 nt
Filed under: uncultured Beltraniaceae
Lineage: Eukaryota; Fungi; Ascomycota; Sordariomycetes; Amphisphaeriales; Beltraniaceae
Description: sequence contains ITS2
Source: RNAcentral
CAACCCUUAAGCCUAGCUUAGUGUUGGGAAUCUAUGUGUGGCCCACGUUACCCUGUAGCGUGGUUACCCUGUAGUUCCUGAAAAACAACGGCGGAUUUAUGGUAUCCUCUGAGCGUAGUAAUUUUUUAUCUCGCUUCUGUCUAGGUGCUGUAGAUUCUGCCGCUAAACCCCCAAAUUUUUGU